UUGGUAUUUUAUAUAUUACGAACAAUAGUGCAAGGAGCAGCAAUCCACUAAGCAGAAAUAUUUCAUAUAUUUAAUCAACUCGGUUGCAUUACAUGGAACAAGAUAUGAAGAAGACAUUACAUGAUCUCCUAUAUAACCAUGAAAAUGACAUUCUAUAAUGUAAAUGUAAAACUAUCUUGUAGUAGCCCCGCCCUCCAUCUUUGUAUCAACAACUUACCCAUACAGCAUCUUCGUCUUCGUCGCCUUUCAUGCUGGAUGACAAGCUUCUCUAUGAACUUCCUGCAGACCCAUCCUAUGACAUUGUUAUAGGAUGAAUCACCACCACCCUGCCCAUCAUUCAGUACAGGAACUGACUGGCAAAGCGCCACUACAACAGAUUAAAUAAACAUAAUGAAAAUCCGGCAUGAGGAGAUGGAAGCCACAUGUAACACUUAAAUAUUCUGGGAUUGAUAAUUUAUCGAAGGAAGGCUCACAUCAGUUCAGUGUAUCAUAAAUUAUCAUGACAAAUCCUUGUCGUUCCUUAUCCUAGCAGAAGCUCGAUUUAACUGUAACAAGAAUGUAUAACUGUGAACUAGGCAUGCCACUCUGUUAGGCACUUUUAAUUUUGUCACCUCAAUCUUUUUCUUUUAUUUUG
RNAcentral lists this long non-coding RNA (634 nucleotides) under Triticum aestivum (bread wheat). RNAcentral's name for it is "long non-coding RNA (TAES_LNC004773)". Lineage: Eukaryota; Viridiplantae; Streptophyta; Magnoliopsida; Poales; Poaceae. The record is from RNAcentral.